This 444-nucleotide ribosomal RNA is filed under the name uncultured prokaryote. RNAcentral's name for it is "bacterial SSU rRNA". It matches the Rfam family "Bacterial small subunit ribosomal RNA", at positions 355 to 796 of the family's 1533-position model. The record is from RNAcentral.
UCGGGAAUAUUGGUCAAUGGGCGCAAGCCUGAACCAGCCAUGCCGCGUGCAGGAUGAAGGCCCUCAGGGUUGUAAACUGCUUUUGUAUGGGAAUAAAAAAGUCCUUGCGAGGACUCUUGAAGGUACCAUAAGAAUAAGCACCGGCUAACUCCGUGCCAGCAGCCGCGGUAAUACGGAGGGUGCAAGCGUUAUCCGGACUUACUGGGCGUAAAGCGCACGCAGGUGGUAACGCAAGUGGGGUGUGAAAGCCGCCAGCUCAACUGGCGGAGGCCAUCCCAAACUGCGUCACUUGAGGCCUGUAGAGGUAUGUGGAAUUGCCGGUGUAGUGGUGAAAUGCGUAGAGAUCGGCAGGAACACCCAGGGGGAAACCAGCAUACUGGACAGGUCCUGACACUCAGGUGCGACAGCGUGGGGAGCGAACCGGAUUAGAUACCCGUGUAGUCC